GUGGGGAAUCUUAGACAAUGGGCGCAAGCCUGAUCUAGCCAUGCCGCGUGAUCGAUGAAGGCCUUAGGGUUGUAAAGAUCUUUCAGUGGGGAAGAUAAUGACUGUACCCACAGAAGAAGCCCCGGCUAACUCCGUGCCAGCAGCCGCGGUAAUACGGAGGGGGCUAGCGUUGUUCGGAAUUACUGGGCGUAAAGCGCGCGUAGGCGGACCAGAAAGUUGGAGGUGAAAUCCCAGGGCUCAACCUUGGAACUGCCUUCAAAACUCCUGGUCUGGAGUUCGAGAGAGGUGAGUGGAAUUCCGAGUGUAGAGGUGAAAUUCGUAGAUAUUCGGAGGAACACCAGUGGCGAAGGCGGCUCACUGGCUCGAUACUGACGCUGAGGUGCGAAAGCGUGGGGAGCAAACAGGAUUAGAUACCCGGGUAGUCC
RNAcentral lists this ribosomal RNA (425 nucleotides) under uncultured bacterium. RNAcentral's name for it is "partial 16S ribosomal RNA". It matches the Rfam family "Bacterial small subunit ribosomal RNA", at positions 354 to 796 of the family's 1533-position model. The record is from RNAcentral.